AACGGACGCUGGCGGCGCGCCUAAUACAUGCAAGUCGAGCGAGAAGACGUAGCAAUACGUUUGUAAAGCGGCGAACGGGUGAGGAAUACAUGGGUAACCUACCCUCGAGUGGGGAAUAACUAGCCGAAAGGUUAGCUAAUACCGCGUACGCUCCUUGGACUUCGGUUCAGGGAGGAAAGCGAUACCGUGGGUAUCGCGCUCUUGGAUGGGCUCAUGUCCUAUCAGCUUGUUGGUGAGGAACGGCUCACCAAGGCUUCGACGGGUAGCUGGUCUGAGAGGACGAUCAGCCACACUGGCACUGCGACACGGGCCAGACUCCUACGGGAGGCAGCAGUAAGGAAUAUUGCGCAAUGGGCGAAAGCCUGACGCAGCGACGCCGCGUGGGGGA
RNAcentral lists this ribosomal RNA (388 nucleotides) under uncultured bacterium. Its description in RNAcentral is "bacterial SSU rRNA". It matches the Rfam family "Bacterial small subunit ribosomal RNA", at positions 29 to 408 of the family's 1533-position model. The record is from RNAcentral.